RNAcentral lists this transfer RNA (74 nucleotides) under Phage 67_12. RNAcentral describes it as "tRNA-Met". It matches the Rfam family "tRNA". Rfam says of the family: Transfer RNA (tRNA) molecules are approximately 80 nucleotides in length. Their secondary structure includes four short double-helical elements and three loops (D, anti-codon, and T loops). Lineage: Duplodnaviria; Heunggongvirae; Uroviricota; Caudoviricetes. The record is from RNAcentral.
UGCGGAGUAGCUCAGCCAGGUAGAGCACCGGCCUCAUAAGCCGUCUGUCGCUGGAUCGAAGCCAGCCUCCGCAA